AGAGUUUGAUCCUGGCUCAGGAUGAACGCUGGCGGCGUGCCUAAUACAUGCAAGUCGAGCGAACGGACGAGAAGCUUGCUUCUCUGAUGUUAGCGGCGGACGGGUGAGUAACACGUGGAUAACCUACCUAUAAGACUGGGAUAACUUCGGGAAACCGGAGCUAAUACCGGAUAAUAUUUUGAACCGCAUGGUUCAAAAGUGAAAGACGGUCUUGCUGUCACUUAUAGAUGGAUCCGCGCUGCAUUAGCUAGUUGGUAAGGUAACGGCUUACCAAGGCAACGAUGCAUAGCCGACCUGAGAGGGUGAUCGGCCACACUGGAACUGAGACACGGUCCAGACUCCUACGGGAGGCAGCAGUAGGGAAUCUUCCGCAAUGGGCGAAAGCCUGACGGAGCAACGCCGCGUGAGUGAUGAAGGUCUUCGGAUCGUAAAACUCUGUUAUUAGGGAAGAACAUAUGUGUAAGUAACUGUGCACAUCUUGACGGUACCUAAUCAGAAAGCCACGGCUAACUACGUGCCAGCAGCCGCGGUAAUACGUAGGUGGCAAGCGUUAUCCGGAAUUAUUGGGCGUAAAGCGCGCGUAGGCGGUUUUUUAAGUCUGAUGUGAAAGCCCACGGCUCAACCGUGGAGGGUCAUUGGAAACUGGAAAACUUGAGUGCAGAAGAGGAAAGUGGAAUUCCAUGUGUAGCGGUGAAAUGCGCAGAGAUAUGGAGGAACACCAGUGGCGAAGGCGACUUUCUGGUCUGUAACUGACGCUGAUGUGCGAAAGCGUGGGGAUCAAACAGGAUUAGAUACCCUGGUAGUCCACGCCGUAAACGAUGAGUGCUAAGUGUUAGGGGGUUUCCGCCCCUUAGUGCUGCAGCUAACGCAUUAAGCACUCCGCCUGGGGAGUACGACCGCAAGGUUGAAACUCAAAGGAAUUGACGGGGACCCGCACAAGCGGUGGAGCAUGUGGUUUAAUUCGAAGCAACGCGAAGAACCUUACCAAAUCUUGACAUCCUUUGACAACUCUAGAGAUAGAGCCUUCCCCUUCGGGGGACAAAGUGACAGGUGGUGCAUGGUUGUCGUCAGCUCGUGUCGUGAGAUGUUGGGUUAAGUCCCGCAACGAGCGCAACCCUUAAGCUUAGUUGCCAU
This 1134-nucleotide ribosomal RNA is filed under the name Staphylococcus aureus. Its description in RNAcentral is "bacterial SSU rRNA". It matches the Rfam family "Bacterial small subunit ribosomal RNA", at positions 8 to 1121 of the family's 1533-position model. RNAcentral also lists the same sequence under 3 other names. The record is from RNAcentral. Lineage: Bacteria; Bacillati; Bacillota; Bacilli; Caryophanales; Staphylococcaceae.